This 65-nucleotide microRNA precursor is filed under the name Heterocephalus glaber (naked mole-rat). RNAcentral's name for it is "mir-362 microRNA precursor family". It matches the Rfam family "mir-362 microRNA precursor family". Lineage: Eukaryota; Metazoa; Chordata; Mammalia; Rodentia; Bathyergidae. The record is from Rfam by way of RNAcentral.
CUCAAAUCCUUGAAACUUAGGUGUGAGUGCUGCUUCAGUGCAACACACCUAUUCAAGGAUUCAAA